This 460-nucleotide ribosomal RNA is filed under the name uncultured bacterium. Its description in RNAcentral is "partial 16S ribosomal RNA". It matches the Rfam family "Bacterial small subunit ribosomal RNA", at positions 338 to 795 of the family's 1533-position model. The record is from RNAcentral.
CCUACGGGUGGCUGCAGUGAGGAAUAUUGGUCAAUGGCCGUAAGGCUGAACCAGCCAAGUCGCGUGCAGGAAGAAGGAUCUAUGGUUUGUAAACUUCUUUUAUAGGGGAAUAAAGGUAUCCACGUGUGGAUAGUUGCAUGUAACCGAUGAAUAAGCAUCGGCUAACUCCGUGCCGGCAGCAGCGCUAAUACGGAGGAUGCGAGAGUUGUCCGGAUUUAUUGGGUUUAAAGGGUGCGUCGGUUGCUUUUUAAGUCAGCGGUGAAAGUUUGUGGCUCAAACAUAAAAUUGCCGUUGAAACUGGAAGACUUGAGUGUGUUUGAGGUAGGCGGAAUGCGUGGUGUAGCGGUGAAAUGCAUAGAUAUCACGCAGAACUCCGAUUGCGAAGGCAGCUUACUAAGCCAUAACUGACACUGACGCACGAACGCGUGGGGAUCAAACAGGAUUAGAUACCCCUGUAGUC